RNAcentral lists this microRNA precursor (202 nucleotides) under Oryza brachyantha (malo sina). RNAcentral's name for it is "MIR812 microRNA precursor family". It matches the Rfam family "MIR812 microRNA precursor family". The record is from Rfam by way of RNAcentral. Lineage: Eukaryota; Viridiplantae; Streptophyta; Magnoliopsida; Poales; Poaceae.
AAUAAACCAAUUUUUCACUUUUCACCUAUAAUUUUUAACUCUUCGUCUUAUUCAAAAAAAUUUUAUGAUUGAUAUUUUUGUUUUUAUUAGAUGAUAAAUCAUGAAUAGUAUUUUACGUGUGACUAAUUUUUUCUAAUUUUCUAAAAAAAUUUCAAAUAAGACGGAUGAUUAAACGUUAGACACGUAAACCGGAGAAUUGAUU